RNAcentral lists this long non-coding RNA (1941 nucleotides) under Prunus persica (peach). RNAcentral's name for it is "long non-coding RNA (PPER_LNC005614)". Lineage: Eukaryota; Viridiplantae; Streptophyta; Magnoliopsida; Rosales; Rosaceae. The record is from RNAcentral.
CACGUGUCAUUUUUUGACAACUAAUUCGAUUUUGAUGAGUCAUACACCACAUGUACGAAUUAUGAGGCCCACAAUUCAAUCCACUGAACCCUAAUUAUUUUCUCGUCCAAUAGAAUUUAUUUCACCAAAAUUUCUUUGUCUACAAAUUGCCCCCACUUCCUGAUGCACUGUAGGUACGUGCUUAUCGCAUGUAGGAGGUGCAGCUUGAAGUACUCCCUUUUUCUUUUUUUCUUUUUUUUUUUGGGAAUGAUAUUAUUAAAAUAAUAUCCAAUAAUCACUUUGCUUCCAACGUUGGCUUUCUAUUUCCAACGUGAGCUUCCUUUUUUUCUUUUUUUUGGGUGAUAUUAUUAACUUAAUAAUAUCCAAUUUUGUUAAGAUUUUGUACGACAAAAUCCAAUAUUUUCCUAAACUAGGAAUGAAAAACCCUAGCACCACCAAGAGCUUUAAUGGCCUUUGGCUUUUUUUAAAUUGCAUACUCUCAUGGAUAUUGAGAUUAACCCAAUAGAACAGUGAAGACUCCUCUUGUCGGCAAGAAGGUUUACAGCUUUGAAGUUUGCAUAAUUUGAAUUCUCAGCAACCAAAGUGGUGAGAGUUGGCUUCUUUUCCUUCAGUUUGGUCUACGAAGAAACUUGUUGGUAAGACUGAAUCCACUCUUUAUUUCAUCAUUCCACGUCAAUUUUUUUUUAUUUUUCUUCUUUCUUCUAGCCACAAGAACCUACCCUUGGCAUGUUAUUCUUUCUUUGUGCCAGCGUCUUCUUCUUCUUCUUCAUUUUUUUUUUUUGGCAUUCCCACCAUGCAACAUCAAACUCAAUAUUGGCAUACUAUUGCUGUGAUUGCGUCGUCCUCUUUUUUUUUUUUUUUUUUUGUUUUGUUUUUUUUUUCUCUUCUAUUUUGGGUGCACUCCCACCAUACAAUAUUAAAUUCAAUAUUGGUAUGCUGUUGCCGUGCUUGCGUCUUCUUUUUUUUUUUAAAGAAAGUGAAGAACGUAGACGUCCUAUACCGCUUGGGUUUGAUCCAUCUCUCCGACUUGGUGAUAAUCCGCUCAAAUGCUUAGGCUUUACGUAAGUGGAGGAUGAGUGAAGAACGUAGACGUCCUAUACCGCUUGAGUUUGAUCCAUCUCUCCGACUUGGUGAUAACCCGUUCAAGCACUUAGGCUUUACGUAAGUAGAGGAUGAGUGAAGAACGUAGACGUCUUAUACCGCUUGGGUUUGAUCCAUCUCUCUAACUUGGUGAUAACCUGCUCAAGCGCUUAGGCUUUACGUAAGUGGAGGAUGAGUGAAGAACGUAGACAUCCUAUACCGCUUGGGUUUGAUCCAUCUCUCCGACUUGGUGAUAACCCGUUCAAGCGCUUAGGCUUUACGUAAGUGGAGGACGAGUGAAGAACGUAGACGUCCUAUAUUGCUUGGGUUUGAUCCAUCUCUCCAACUUGGUGAUAACCCGCUCAAGCGCUUAGGCUUUACGUAAGUGGAGGACAAGUGAAGAACGUAGACGUCCUAUACCGCUUGGGUUUGAUCCAUCCCUCUGACUUGGUGAUAACUCGCUCAAGCGCUUAGGCUUUACGUAUUGGAGGACGCCCAACUUGAUCGAGCACAGAUACUUUCCCAAAGAGACUUUUUUUUUUUUUCAAGAUUCACCAAAAAAAUGAUCCAUAGUGAAGCAGCUCGAUGUUGAACGAAAGAUGUUAAUGUAGCCCUGACAGGGUGAAUUGGAAGUCGAAUAGUGCCAAACUAAUGAGAAACUCCAAAUUUAUUUUAUUAUGUGACUGAACUCAAAGUGGUCUCAUGAGCUGCCUACGUACCCUUCUAGGAAAAGAAGAGAUCAAGUCAUGACGUAGUUCAAUAUUUUUUUUUUCUUUCAGUUUGCGGUUUUGGCUCAUGCAAGCGAGUGAGCAUUUGGUGCCUUGUGCAUUUUUGGCUCUUGCAAGCGAAGGAGCAUUUUGG